GAUGAACGCUGGCGGCGUGCUUAACACAUGCAAGUCGAACGAAGCAUUUGCGACAGAUUUUUUCGGAAUGAAGUUGCUUAUGACUGAGUGGCGGACGGGUGAGUAACGCGUGGGUAACCUGCCUUGUACUGGGGGAUAGCAGCUGGAAACGGCUGGUAAUACCGCAUAAGCGCACAAUGUUGCAUGACAUGGUGUGAAAAACUCCGGUGGUAUAAGAUGGACCCGCGUCUGAUUAGCUAGUUGGUGAGAUAACAGCCCACCAAGGCGGCGAUCAGUAGCCGACCUGAGAGGGUGACCGGCCACAUUGGGACUGAGACACGGCCCAGACUCCUACGGGAGGCAGCAGUGGGGAAUAUUGCACAAUGGAGGAAACUCUGAUGCAGCGACGCCGCGUGAGUGAAGAAGUAAUUCGUUAUGUAAAGCUCUAUCAGCAGGGAAGAUAGUGACGGUACCUGACUAAGAAGCUCCGGCUAAAUACGUG
RNAcentral lists this ribosomal RNA (481 nucleotides) under uncultured bacterium. Its description in RNAcentral is "partial 16S ribosomal RNA". It matches the Rfam family "Bacterial small subunit ribosomal RNA", at positions 28 to 507 of the family's 1533-position model. The record is from RNAcentral.